This 1419-nucleotide ribosomal RNA is filed under the name uncultured bacterium. Its description in RNAcentral is "16S ribosomal RNA". It matches the Rfam family "Bacterial small subunit ribosomal RNA". The record is from RNAcentral.
AGAGUUUGAUCCUGGCUCAGAUUGAACGCUGGCGGCAGGCCUAACACAUGCAAGUCGAGCGGUAGCACAGAGAGCUUGCUCUCGGGUGACGAGCGGCGGACGGGUGAGUAAUGUCUGGGAAACUGCCUGAUGGAGGGGGAUAACUACUGGAAACGGUAGCUAAUACCGCAUAAUGUCGCAAGACCAAAGUGGGGGACCUUCGGGCCUCAUGCCAUCAGAUGUGCCCAGAUGGGAUUAGCUAGUAGGUGGGGUAACGGCUCACCUAGGCGACGAUCCCUAGCUGGUCUGAGAGGAUGACCAGCCACACUGGAACUGAGACACGGUCCAGACUCCUACGGGAGGCAGCAGUGGGGAAUAUUGCACAAUGGGCGCAAGCCUGAUGCAGCCAUGCCGCGUGUGUGAAGAAGGCCUUCGGGUUGUAAAGCACUUUCAGCGGGGAGGAAGGCGGUGAGGUUAAUAACCUCAUCGAUUGACGUUACCCGCAGAAGAAGCACCGGCUAACUCCGUGCCAGCAGCCGCGGUAAUACGGAGGGUGCAAGCGUUAAUCGGAAUUACUGGGCGUAAAGCGCACGCAGGCGGUCUGUCAAGUCGGAUGUGAAAUCCCCGGGCUUAACCUGGGAACUGCAUUCGAAACUGGCAGGCUAGAGUCUUGUAGAGGGGGGUAGAAUUCCAGGUGUAGCGGUGAAAUGCGUAGAGAUCUGGAGGAAUACCGGUGGCGAAGGCGGCCCCCUGGACAAAGACUGACGCUCAGGUGCGAAAGCGUGGGGAGCAAACAGGAUUAGAUACCCUGGUAGUCCACGCCGUAAACGAUGUCGAUUUGGAGGUUGUGCCCUUGAGGCGUGGCUUCCGGAGCUAACGCGUUAAAUCGACCGCCUGGGGAGUACGGCCGCAAGGUUAAAACUCAAAUGAAUUGACGGGGGCCCGCACAAGCGGUGGAGCAUGUGGUUUAAUUCGAUGCAACGCGAAGAACCUUACCUGGUCUUGACAUCCACAGAACUUUCCAGAGAUGGAUUGGUGCCUUCGGGAACUGUGAGACAGGUGCUGCAUGGCUGUCGUCAGCUCGUGUUGUGAAAUGUUGGGUUAAGUCCCGCAACGAGCGCAACCCUUAUCCUUUGUUGCCAGCGGUCCGGCCGGGAACUCAAAGGAGACUGCCAGUGAUAAACUGGAGGAAGGUGGGGAUGACGUCAAGUCAUCAUGGCCCUUACGACCAGGGCUACACACGUGCUACAAUGGCAUAUACAAAGAGAAGCGACCUCGCGAGAGCAAGCGGACCUCAUAAAGUAUGUCGUAGUCCGGAUUGGAGUCUGCAACUCGACUCCAUGAAGUCGGAAUCGCUAGUAAUUGUAGAUCAGAAUGCUACGGUGAAUACGUUCCCGGGCCUUGUACACACCGCCCGUCACACCAUGGGAGUGGGUUGCA